UCUCUGCGUGCACUGGUGUGUUUCCUAAACACAGUGUGUCACAUCAAGUUUGAAGGAAGCAACACUAACAAGUGGUAUCAGAGCAGUCACUCGAUACACUGAGUGUGAUCCUCGUUGUUAUCAGAACAGUUGCUUCAACAUGGAGUCCAACAAUCUCGGAUUUAUGCGACCACCAAUUCUGGAUGGUGCAAAUUGCUCUUUCAAGAAGUACAAAUGCAGGGGGAGAACAUCCAUUUCGGGGGAGAUUUAAAGGCUUAUUGGUUUUGUGAAGAAAGGCAAAAAUGGGGAGUUUGUUGGAGUUAAUUUUUAACUCCAGUAUUAUUUUGUUUUGCCUUUCAUCACGUUUUUGCAGGCCUUAAAACAAAGUCAAAAUCAGUUCCUACAAGAUAGGAAACAUGGAGAAAGGAAGAGAAGGGGUUGAGGGAGUUAGUUCCUAAAAUCAUGGAUAAAACCCUAAACUACCUCAACCUCCACUACUCCACUUCUUGCAACCACGUUUUCAGCCUUGAAGAGCAAGAUUGGAGUUGUCUAUAAAAGCUGAGGAAGUUCCCUCAGUCUGUCUAGAGCUUACAGAGAGAAAUCAGGC
Molecule: long non-coding RNA, 586 nt
Filed under: Salvia miltiorrhiza (redroot sage)
Lineage: Eukaryota; Viridiplantae; Streptophyta; Magnoliopsida; Lamiales; Lamiaceae
Description: long non-coding RNA (SMIL_LNC012032)
Source: RNAcentral